Molecule: ribosomal RNA, 254 nt
Filed under: uncultured bacterium
Lineage: Bacteria
Description: partial 16S ribosomal RNA
Rfam family: Bacterial small subunit ribosomal RNA
Source: RNAcentral
UACGUAGGGGGCGAGCGUUGUCCGGAUUCAUUGGGCGUAAAGAGCUCGUAGGCGGUUCGAUAAGUCAGGUGUGAAAACUCCAGGCUCAACUUGGAGACGCCACCUGAUACUGUCGUGACUAGAGUCCGGUAGGGGAGCAUGGAAUUCCUGGUGUAGCGGUGAAAUGCGCAGAUAUCAGGAGGAACACCAGCGGCGAAGGCGGUGCUCUGGGCCGGAACUGACGCUGAGGAGCGAAAGCGUGGGGAGCGAACAGG